GUAGGGAAUUUUCGUCAAUGGGCGCAAGCCUGAACGAGCAAUGCCGCGUGAACGAGGAAGGUCUUCGGAUCGUAAAGUUCUGUUGAAGGGGAAAAAGAGCGGAGAGAGGAAAUGGUCUCCGAUUGAUAUUACCCUUCGAGGAAGUCACGGCUAACUACGUGCCAGCAGCCGCGGUAAUACGUAGGUGGCGAGCGUUAUCCGGAAUGAUUGGGCGUAAAGGGUGCGUAGGCGGCCUGCUAAGUCUGGAGUGAAAGGUACCGGCUCAACCGGUACAGGCUCUGGAAACUGGCGGGCUAGAGAGCAGGAGAGGGCGGUGGAACUCCAUGUGUAGCGGUAAAAUGCGUAGAUAUAUGGAAGAACACCAGUGGCGAAGGCGGCCGCCUGGCCUGUUACUGACGCUGAGGCACGAAAGCGUGGGGAGCAAAUAGG
This 429-nucleotide ribosomal RNA is filed under the name uncultured bacterium. RNAcentral describes it as "bacterial SSU rRNA". It matches the Rfam family "Bacterial small subunit ribosomal RNA", at positions 354 to 776 of the family's 1533-position model. The record is from RNAcentral. RNAcentral also lists the same sequence under 1 other name.